GACGAACGCUGGCGGCAUGCCUAAUACAUGCAAGUCGAGCGAACAGAUGAAGUGCUUGCACUUCUGACGUUAGCGGCGAACGGGUGAGUAACACGUAAGGAAUCUACCUAUAAGCGGGGGAUAACAUUCGGAAACGGGUGCUAAUACCGCAUAAUAUCUUCUUCCGCAUGGAAGGAGAUUGAAAGACGGCUCUACUGUCACUUAUAGAUGACCUUGCGGUGCAUUAGUUAGUUGGUGGGGUAACGGCCUACCAAGACGAUGGUGCAUAGCCGACCUGAGAGGGUGAUCGGCCACAUUGGGACUGAGACACGGCCCAAACUCCUACGGGAGGCAGCAGUAGGGAAUCUUCCGCAAUGGGCGAAAGCCUGACGGAGCAAUGCCGCGUGAGUGAAGAAGGCCUUCGGGUCGUAAAACUCUGUUAUAAGAGAAGAACAAAUUGUAGAGUAACUG
Molecule: ribosomal RNA, 450 nt
Filed under: uncultured bacterium
Lineage: Bacteria
Description: bacterial SSU rRNA
Rfam family: Bacterial small subunit ribosomal RNA
Source: RNAcentral